This 460-nucleotide ribosomal RNA is filed under the name uncultured bacterium. RNAcentral's name for it is "partial 16S ribosomal RNA". It matches the Rfam family "Bacterial small subunit ribosomal RNA", at positions 338 to 795 of the family's 1533-position model. The record is from RNAcentral.
CCUACGGGAGGCAGCAGUGAGGAAUAUUGGUCAAUGGGCGUAAGCCUGAACCAGCCAAGUCGCGUGAGGGAUGAAGGUUCUAUGGAUCGUAAACCUCUUUUAUAAGGGAAUAAAGUGUGGGACGUGUCCUGUUUUGUAUGUACCUUAUGAAUAAGGAUCGGCUAACUCCGUGCCAGCAGCCGCGGUAAUACGGAGGAGCCGAGCGUUAUCCGGAUUUAUUGGGUUUAACGGGUGCGUGGGCGGCCUUUUAAGUCAGCGGUGAAAGUCUGUGGCUCAACCAUAGAAUUGCCGUUGAAACUGGGAGGCUUGAGUAUGUUUGCGGCGGGCGGAAGGCGUGGUGUAGCGGUGAAAUGCUUAGAUAUCACGCAGAACCCCGAUUGCGAAGGCAGCCUGCCAAGCCAUGACUGACGCUGAUGCACGAAAGCGUGGGGAUCAAACAGGAUUAGAUACCCGAGUAGUC